CUAUGUGAUUUUCAAUUUCACUCAAGUACAGUUGGGUAGGUUGAUCACAGUAAUGAAUGGUAAUUAUAAAUCAAAUACCUAUGAUAUGUCAGAGGUUUGUUUUAAAAACAUAGAGGCCUAAAAUAACUUAAUAAUUACAUGAGUCACCAUGCCACUCAGCAAAAACACAUCCACAGUGUGGCUAUGUACAUGUAAUAUUUUUGGCUCACAAGGGGAAAAAAAACACUCUGUGUCAAAGUUAAUGUUUUGUUCAUCUGCCCAAGUAAAGGUCUGACAAGAAGGAACACAGUCAUUACCACUGGCAACCAUAACUUUUCACCUCAGCGCUGACGGCUUCCCUGACUGCAGCACUACUAUCUGAUUCCCAUCCAACCAUGGUGGGACAGGCGGCACAGACACAUAAACAAACAGGUAUAUGGUCUGUUUGACACAGUCUGCGAGUCUGCUGCCACGCAGCACCACAUUUAGAUCUGCCAGAAGUGGGAGACUGCAGCAGAGCACAGCAUUCAGUCUCCUUGGUCCUAAUGGGCUCAUGGUUGUUGCUCUACCGGGUUGCUCCUAAUGCACCUUUGUCUGUCUGGUGGGUCACAAAUGAAGGCACACGACAAUCUGUCACUAUCAAAUGACAUGUUGGAUCUCCUCCUAAAUAAUUUGUUGUCAGCCUUUUUUUUUCAACUAACAACAUUUGAUAAUAUAUUAAACUGCU
This is a long non-coding RNA of Monopterus albus (swamp eel), 706 nucleotides long. RefSeq lists it as uncharacterized. The record is from RefSeq and is a predicted model, not a curated record. Lineage: Eukaryota; Metazoa; Chordata; Actinopteri; Synbranchiformes; Synbranchidae. The transcript is spliced from 3 exons.